Molecule: ribosomal RNA, 445 nt
Filed under: uncultured bacterium
Lineage: Bacteria
Description: partial 16S ribosomal RNA
Rfam family: Bacterial small subunit ribosomal RNA
Source: RNAcentral
GUGAGGAAUAUUGGACAAUGGGCGCAAGCCUGAUCCAGCCAUGCCGCGUGCAGGAAGACGCAUCUAUGGUGUGUAAACUGCUUUUGUACGGGAAGAAACACUCCCUCGUGAGGGAGCUUGACGGUACCGUAAGAAUAAGGAUCGGCUAACUCCGUGCCAGCAGCCGCGGUAAUACGGAGGAUCCAAGCGUUAUCCGGAAUCAUUGGGUUUAAAGGGUCCGUAGGCGGUUUAAUAAGUCAGUGGUGAAAGCCCAUCGCUCAACGAUGGAACGGCCAUUGAUACUGUUAGACUUGAAUUACAAGGAAGUAACUAGAAUAUGUAGUGUAGCGGUGAAAUGCUUAGAUAUUACAUGGAAUACCAAUUGCGAAGGCAGGUUACUACUUGUGGAUUGACGCUGAUGGACGAAAGCGUGGGGAGCGAACGGGAUUAGAUACCCCGGUAGUCC